RNAcentral lists this non-coding RNA (110 nucleotides) under Shimia sp. SK013. Its description in RNAcentral is "TPP riboswitch aptamer (THI element)". It matches the Rfam family "TPP riboswitch aptamer (THI element)". From Rfam's summary of the family: Vitamin B(1) in its active form thiamin pyrophosphate (TPP) is an essential coenzyme that is synthesised by coupling of pyrimidine and thiazole moieties in bacteria. Lineage: Bacteria; Pseudomonadati; Pseudomonadota; Alphaproteobacteria; Rhodobacterales; Roseobacteraceae. The record is from Rfam by way of RNAcentral. RNAcentral also lists the same sequence under 1 other name.
CGGCUUACCUCGGGGUGCCUGCGUCAAAACGCGCAGGCUGAGAUGCACACUGCGAACCCGUUGAACCUGAACCGGUUAAGACCGGCGGAGGGAAGGUCGAGGGAAUGAGU